GGCCAAGAUGGGCUGCCAAGAGUUGC
RNAcentral lists this non-coding RNA (26 nucleotides) under Homo sapiens (human). The record is from RNAcentral. Lineage: Eukaryota; Metazoa; Chordata; Mammalia; Primates; Hominidae.